GAUGAACGCUGGCGGCGUGCCUAAUACAUGCAAGUCGAGCGAACAGACGAGGAGCUUGCUCCUCUGACGUUAGCGGCGGACGGGUGAGUAACACGUGGAUAACCUACCUAUAAGACUGGGAUAACUUCGGGAAACCGGAGCUAAUACCGGAUAAUAUAUUGAACCGCAUGGUUCAAUAGUGAAAGACGGUUUUGCUGUCACUUAUAGAUGGAUCCGCGCCGCAUUAGCUAGUUGGUAAGGUAACGGCUUACCAAGGCAACGAUGCGUAGCCGACCUGAGAGGGUGAUCGGCCACACUGGAACUGAGACACGGUCCAGACUCCUACGGGAGGCAGCAGUAGGGAAACGUCCGCAAUGGGCGAAAGCCUGACGGAGCAACGCCGCGUGAGUGAUGAAGGUCUUCGGAUCGUAAAACUCUGUUAUUAGGGAAGAACAAAUGUGUAAGUAACUAUGCACGUCUUGACGGCACCUAAUCAGAAAGCCACGGCUAACUACGUG
RNAcentral lists this ribosomal RNA (497 nucleotides) under uncultured bacterium. RNAcentral describes it as "partial 16S ribosomal RNA". It matches the Rfam family "Bacterial small subunit ribosomal RNA", at positions 28 to 507 of the family's 1533-position model. The record is from RNAcentral.